CAAAAAGAAAAAAUUCCAUUGAGUCAAUAGAUAGCAGAGAUUCCAUUAGUGAUAGUGAAAGUUGUCCUACUCAAUGACCCUCCUCUCUCAUCUGCCACAUACCCUGAAGGUUUUCAAAGGUAUGACUGGCAGGGUGGAAAAUACUGGAUGAGGGACAAAGCUUCAAGGAAAGACUUCAGAGGAAAUUUGAUACCUUUGAAACCACAGGUGUGAAGGCUGAUGUAAUUCUGGAAGAAAAUGUCCGCAUUCUCUGGGCCAAAUUCACCCUAAGGAGGUCUGGGUCCUUGGGGACAACUUUGGAAAUUAUAGAAUUCCCAACAUCUUUGGAACUAAUAUGAAGUCUCUGGAAUUGUGUGGCCCAAGAUUGGCCAGAAUUAUGUGUGUUGUUUCAAUAAAAUUAUUAUGUCUCUUUUGUUCUCCAAAGUGUAAAAGUUUGAAUGUUAAAUAAUGUAAUUUUCAUCAUCACAAAGUACUUUGGAAGACUCUAAGCUUCCAACUGUAAGUCACUAAUCAAA
Molecule: long non-coding RNA, 515 nt
Filed under: Heterocephalus glaber (naked mole-rat)
Lineage: Eukaryota; Metazoa; Chordata; Mammalia; Rodentia; Bathyergidae
Description: lncRNA (ENSHGLG00000046778.1)
Source: RNAcentral